AAUGACGUUUCGCAUGCGUGGCGUGCGUGUCUAUGAGAGGUGUCCACGGACGCGGAUUAGCUAAUGAACGCGACAGUAGCGAGUUUGCAAUAGAUUUUUGUUUGACGAGUUCAUCAUUUGGGGUCCCACCAAGAGCCAAAUCGGGUAGUGAUAUGAUUAGGAAGGUUUCCAGUUUGGGCUUUGGCUUGGAGUUCUUGAAAUUUUCUAAUCUAGAGUUCCAAGAUCUGUUUAAAUUAGUUUCUUUGUAAAUUCAAGUCAAAGAUAGCUUCUAAGUUUUGCUGGGUUUGCAAGUUACCAUAUUGAAAAGUGCAGUUUUUUUUUUAACAGCCAAUCUAAGUUGAUUUCUUUCCAAUUUUAGAUUGUGUUAAUUUUCUGAUUUCAGGAAAAUUUUACAUGAAUUUAUGCAUGUUCUGGGAUGUUUUAUGUUUAGAAAGUCAUGUUAUGGCAGUAAAUUGAGUAAGGGUUGUUUUGGACUCUGACAAUUGGGCUUUGGGAGGUUUGCUAAUUGCACAUGCGUCUGGGGCCUCAGUUUUGCAUUUUUGGAUGUGCAUUAUUCAUUGGCUCUGAUUCUGUUUCUCAGGUUCUCUUGAGCCUCCUGGAUCACUUAUUUCAAGCAGCAUUGUUGGGAUAACUCAGGGAUGACCUGCUACACGAAUGGCAUUGAAUAUGUUAAGGGCCGAUAUGCAUUGCUUUUACUACCUGCUUUUACUACCUGCUGGGCUUUUCAAUGGUUGGCAAUUGCUUUACAUAGACAUUAGCCCUGUGCUGAUAUAGCUGUAGCUUAAAAAUCUUAUCUAAUGCAGUGUGUCUGGAGAUGGGCAUUGGAUUUUUUCAAGAACUCACAACAACAAAAUUUGCAUUGUUGGGAGACUUAAAAAAGAUGUUUUAUUUGUAGCUCAUCAGAUGAUCUUGAUAUGUGAUUAAGCAGAGAUGUUUUGAUUAUGAGGAAUCUUUCUAUUCAGCUGUCAGUGAUACCCUGGAGAAGUAUACUUUAUAUGCUUCUUGUUUUACUUGUUGACUUGUCAUAAUGAAUAAAGUAGAUACCAUUUAAUUAGUUGGGCUUCUUUUGUUUUCUGUUUGGAUGAGUUUGUAAACUCCGAAGGAAUUAGUUUUUAUGUUUAUGCAAUUAAGAAAUAGACAACUAUUGGGACACCAGAACAAGGAAGUAAUGUUGCAUAUGAUGUGUUUGAUUGAUUGCCUGUAUGAAUUUAGUAGGUUUAGUUGACUAAUUUUUGCUUAUCUAUUUGAUGCAUAUUUUGUAUUCCAUAAACUAAUUGGAGUGCAACACACCCGUUUCCUUUUUUGGUGCAUUGUGAUCAAAUUGCUCAUGUGGCAAGGUUUGGACCAUUCAGCAGCUUGAGGUAAAUACACAUUGAUUUGUUGUUGUUAUUCUAUAUCUUUUUACAGGAUACUGCUAUUGGCAUCAACAAUUGUCGGCUGGAAUUAAGUUUGUUAUUGUCUCUUAAACUGGAUGGGGGUUGCUCAUAUAUGGAGGCUUCAAGACUUUCUUUGGAGGCAAGAAAGACAGAAAGAAGAUGUAAUUCUUUACACUGAUGACUGCAAGUCUCUGUCUAUAUUUCUGAAUAGGUUAUGCUCUGAUGUCGGAUAUUAACAAUACAGCCUCUCUGAUUGUAAGGAGCAGAUUUAGUUCAUCACUUCUAUUGGCUCAUCUAAUUAGUUGAACUCAUUAGACUUGCUGAAACAAUCUAAUAGACCUGUACUUGGGUUGAGUUAGUUGGCCAUGCAUUUUUUAAAUUAUAUAUAAACUAGAGAAAACCUGUUUCAAUAUUUUAAACAGGGAGGACAUAACUUGAUUAGAUGGUGCUGUGUUGACUU
This is a long non-coding RNA of Magnolia sinica, 1836 nucleotides long. RefSeq lists it as uncharacterized. The transcript has 2 exons. Lineage: Eukaryota; Viridiplantae; Streptophyta; Magnoliopsida; Magnoliales; Magnoliaceae. The record is from RefSeq and is a predicted model, not a curated record.